GUCUACGGCCAUACCACCCUGAACGCGCCCGAUCUCGUCUGAUCUCGGAAGCUAAGCAGGGUCGGGCCUGGUUAGUACUUGGAUGGGAGACCUCUCGUGACAAUAACGCUGUAUGGU
Ribosomal RNA from Panthera tigris altaica (Amur tiger), 117 nucleotides. The record is from Ensembl. NCBI's taxonomy places the organism in Eukaryota, Metazoa, Chordata, Mammalia, Carnivora, Felidae.